AUGGCUAAGAAAACUGAACAAGCCAAUCAAUCAAAUUUUAUCCCCUCUCUCCUCUUACACUGUAAAACCUACCCAUCCAUGGUAAGCUUGUCUUUUUCCUUUGCUGAGCAUCUGCUGGCUUUAGAGGGACCUGAGUUUUGGUGGCCAAGGAAGAGCGUCUCCUUGUUCUACAAAAUCCUGCCUGUUAAGGUUAUGGGUGCUGAGCACACUUUGUCCACUGUGACUGUGGGCCUUGUCUCUGAAAGUGAUAAUCCCUCUUGGGACAGACACGAGGUGCUGCCCUUCCCCGACACACGGUGCACGCUGCUCUCUGCUUCCUGGUGGAGGGUGGCAGUGCCAGGGCUCUGUGGACUCCUCUAGCUCAGCUGUAUUUGAAAGGCUGCCUGUUGACAUUCUCCGGGAGCGGGGGGCCAAGCUCCACAGCACCAACCAACCUCGUCCUGAGACCUUUCACCGGCACCUUCCGUCAAUCUCAGAGUUUUCUGGGCUCGUCAACAUUUGUUGAAGCAUCAUCCUUGCCUAUUUGCAGGUCAGCUUUAUGCCCUGCCCCCAGCCUUUUAAUGCAGGUAAACUCUGUUUGCAUAACAUCAUCAUCUGUUAAGAACAGGCUCUGGAGUCAGGCCACUCGAGUCCAGAUGCCUUCUGCCUUGCUUACUGGUUAAGUGUGCUCAGUCACUCAGUUGUGUCCAACUCUGCAACCCCACGGAAUGUAGCCAGCAUAUUAUAAAGCAGAGACAUGACUUUGCCAACUAAAGUCCAUCUUGUCAAAGCUAUGGUUUUUCCAGUAGUCAUGUAUGGAUGUAAGAGUUGGACCAUAAAACUGACAGCUAAAGAAUUGAUGCUUUUCAACUGUGGUGCUGGAGAAGACUCUAGAGAGUCCCUUGGACUGCAAGGAGAUCCAACCAGUCCCUCCUAAAGGAAAUCAGUCCUGAAUAUUCAUUGGAAGGACUGAUGCUGAAGCUGAAGCUCCAAUACUUUGGCCACCUGAUGUGAAGAACUGACUCAUUGGAAAAGACCCUGAUGCUGGGAAAGAUUGAAGGUGGGAGGAGAAGCGGAUGACAGAGGAUGAGAUGGUUGGAUGGUACCACUGACUCGAUGAACAUGAGUUUGAACAAGUGCCAGGAGUUGCUGAUGGACAGGGAAGCCUGGCGUGCUUCAGUCCAUGGGGUUGCAGAGUCAGACAUGACUGAGCAACUGAACUGAACUGAGAGUUGAACUCCUAUGCAACAGCCAGCAUCAACUUCUAGACAUGUGAGUGUGCAUCUUGGAAGCCCACCCCAGUCAUGCCUCCAGAUGGCUCCAGCCCCAGAAGAACCACACAGCUGAGCCUAGCCAAAUGCAAGAAUCAUGAGAGAACUACGGUUUGGGGUGAUUUUCCGUGCAGCAAUAGAUAACCCAACUACUGACUUGUACAAGCAGAUGGAGUAAGAGGAAGUGAGAUGAAGCUGGAGAAGUCAUCAGGAGUAGAUUAUGUGGAGCCUGGUAAGCCAUGGUCAGGAGUUUUGUUAUCAUUCCUAAGAGCAGUGGGAAACUGUAGAAAGAUUUUGGGUAGAAAGGGGACACUGUUGCAUUGACGAGCUUCCCUGGCAGUUCGGCUCGUAAAGAAUCCUGUGUCCAUGGACAGAGGAGCCUGGUGGGUUACAGUCCAUGGGGUCACAAAGAGCUGGACAGGACUGAGCGACUAGGCACAGCAUAUCGCGUUUAUAUUUCACCCAGAUCAUCUGCCUGCUGUGUGGAAAACAGCCUGGAGGGGGAGCCAGAGAGGUGAGCCAGCCCGGAGAUGAAGGAUGCUAUUGAGGCAGGAAGCGGAAAGGUGGGUUGGACUGGGGAGUGGAGUGGGGAGUGGGGUUUAGUGAUUGAAAGGGAGUAAAGUGGAUGGUCAGUGAUAUUUAGGAGAUUAAAUUAUGAUGGCUCAGGGACUGCUGGUAAUCUAUGUGGCCCUUACCUAACCAGUUCCUUCUGUUCUCUGUUUCCCCCAUACCUCUACAGCAUCACAUGUGGAGAGAGCAAGGACUCAGGUACCAGAUACAUUAAUCCCAGUUCUCUACUUAUCUGCUGUGUUACCUCGGGAAAGUCACCUAACUUCUCUGGACUUCAGUUUUCCUCUGCUAUCAAACAGAGGCAAUACAAAGAAUGAUCAUAGUAAUUAAUUCUCCUUGUUUACUGAACAGUGCCUGGCACAUAGCAGGCACUCAAUCAAUAUUUGUUGAAUGAAUGAAUUUAGUGGGCUAGAAUUGAGGAGGUACAAAGAAGAAAUGAUCUUAUUUUUCUCCUCCUCCUGAAAAUUUCUUCUGUCAAAGGUGGUUUCCCUCUCUUGACUCCUGAUAAUAAUCAGGCAGAUCCAUGACUUCUUGGUCCCUUUGGGGCAAAAUAACAGUUUCAUUUUGGUAAUUAAAACUCACUUCCAGUCAUUAGAAAGUCCACUUUGACCCAGUGAAAUAAAAUAUUUUGAUUUCUCA
This 2459-nucleotide long non-coding RNA is filed under the name Bos indicus x Bos taurus (hybrid cattle). RNAcentral describes it as "lncRNA (ENSBIXG00005029711.1)". Lineage: Eukaryota; Metazoa; Chordata; Mammalia; Artiodactyla; Bovidae. The record is from RNAcentral.